Molecule: ribosomal RNA, 118 nt
Filed under: Diaphorina citri (Asian citrus psyllid)
Lineage: Eukaryota; Metazoa; Arthropoda; Insecta; Hemiptera; Psyllidae
Source: RNAcentral
AGCGGCGGUGAUAACAUGUUGAAUGCACCAGAUCCCAAAAGAUCACUGAAGUUGAGAAACGUUACGCAUGGUUGAUAUCCAGGUGGGUGACCGUCUGGGAAAUCGCUUGCUGCCGGGU